Molecule: long non-coding RNA, 473 nt
Organism: Myodes glareolus (Bank vole)
Lineage: Eukaryota; Metazoa; Chordata; Mammalia; Rodentia; Cricetidae
Source: RefSeq, a predicted model, not a curated record
ACGUUAGUGUUCAAACAAAACAGGUCUAACCAGGUUAUGCCUGUGUCUCAAGAACAGAGACAACCUGUUAAUGGAUGAGGAAUUGAUUUGGUGGUGACCGUGCCUUUCAGCUUAGAGGCAGUUUCAGGUACCAAGCGUGGAAGGAGCAUCUAGCCCAUUCUCUCUCGGGGCACCAUGACCGGCUCUUGGUAGUGACUCUUGACAAUUUUAGAGGACUUUGAACAGGCUUUUUCCCCAGCUCCAGGAUCCAGAAAAGAAAACCAAAAUGCCAACAGAGUCUGAACAAGAUGUGGACUGCUAAGGAGAUCUUUGGAUUUCACAGAGCCCCAUCCCCCUGAGCCAAGGCUAUGCAGGGAGUUUCCUAUUCUUGCUUCACUGGGUCCCAAAUGUUUCUCCACCUGCACAGGUGAGCGAGUGCCCUGGCCAGGAAAAAUACAGUCUCCUAACCAUUAACUUUCCCCCUUGGGUCUUCC